RNAcentral lists this microRNA precursor (71 nucleotides) under Spodoptera frugiperda (fall armyworm). RNAcentral describes it as "microRNA sfr-mir-10457 precursor". The record is from miRBase by way of RNAcentral. Lineage: Eukaryota; Metazoa; Arthropoda; Insecta; Lepidoptera; Noctuidae.
AUGUUUGUUUGUUGUGUGUUUCGUAAAUUAAUUUGUUGUGAUUAGUUUCCGAGAAUUAUAUGGACGGACAU